GACGAACCGAGCGAACGUUGUUCGGAAUCACUGGGCUUAAAGGGCGCGUAGGCGGGCUGCCGCGUCCGGGGUGAAAUCCCACGGCUCAACCGUGGAACGGCCCCGGGUACGGGCGGCCUCGAGGGGGGUAGGGGCGUGCGGAACUGUGGGUGGAGCGGUGAAAUGCGUUGAGAUCCACAGGAACUCCGGUGGCGAAGGCGGGUAGCUGGGCCGACACUGACGCUGAGGCGCGAAAGCCAGGGGAGCGAACGGG
This 253-nucleotide ribosomal RNA is filed under the name uncultured bacterium. RNAcentral describes it as "partial 16S ribosomal RNA". It matches the Rfam family "Bacterial small subunit ribosomal RNA", at positions 524 to 776 of the family's 1533-position model. The record is from RNAcentral.